RNAcentral lists this ribosomal RNA (449 nucleotides) under uncultured bacterium. RNAcentral describes it as "partial 16S ribosomal RNA". It matches the Rfam family "Bacterial small subunit ribosomal RNA", at positions 29 to 523 of the family's 1533-position model. The record is from RNAcentral.
AACGAACGCUGGCGGCAGGCCUAACACAUGCAAGUCGAACGCCCUGGCAACAGGGAGUGGCAGACGGGUGAGUAACGCGUGGGAACGUGCCCUUCGGUUCGGAAUAACUCAGGGAAACUUGAGCUAAUACCGGAUACGUGCGAGAGCAGAAAGAUUUAUCGCCGAAGGAUCGGCCCGCGUCCGAUUAGCUAGUUGGUGAGGUAAUGGCUCACCAAGGCGACGAUCGGUAGCUGGUCUGAGAGGAUGAUCAGCCAAACUGGGACCGAGACACGGCCCAGACUCCUACGGGAGGCAGCAGUGGGGAAUAUUGGACAAUGGGCGCAAGCCUGAUCCAGCCAUGCCGCGUGAGUGAUGAAGGCCCUAGGGUUGUAAAGCUCUUUCGCCAGGGACGAUAAUGACGGUACCUGGAUAAGAAGCCCCGGCUAACUUCGUGCCAGCCGCCGCGGUAA